AGGCUUUUUACCUGGUUUCCUCCUGGGAGGUGCUGAUCAUUUUCAUGGGUGAAGAGAAAGAAAAAAAACGAAGCAAGCCAGCAAGAAAGCGAGCGUGCCAACAUUUAUUUUUUCCUGACAGAGGAGGCUGCCAGCACUUCUAUACAGGAGUACAGGACAGACAAAAAAAUGGAACUGCAAAACCAUGAGGCUGAAAGCCAAUUGCAUAAGCUGACAGAAAAGAAGUCUCUAUCUUCUCGUAGACCAGGUCCAACGAGGUGUCAGAUAACCACAAAUCCUCAAGGCAAUUAAGAAUGACCACAACAAAUCCUCAUUCCUUCAGGAAGGAAUGGAAAAUUCAUCUCUUUGCCACAGCUUUCCUUUUUUUUCCAAAGAGCAAGAGGAAAAAUCUGGACAUGUAACUGUUUGUGGGCCAGCGGUACGUGUUCUUGGUGUGCUCUGAAACAAUAUCAAUCCAUAGGAAAUGUGACAGAUCGAUCCAGCUGUUUUUUCUGCAGUUUGAAAUGUUUUGUAUGACAGGAGAGCAUGGGAAUUUGAGGCUUCCUGAGAGGCAAACCUCUCUGCUGGUAUAAAUUUCUGUAGCUUAUCCAGCUAAGUGGUUGGACCUAUGGAUCAUCAGUAACCCCAGUGUCACAGCCUGUCUUUGCUAAUUUUGGGUGUUGCCCUUGUUCAUCUUUAUGUCAUGCCAUGUCAGGGUUUUUAGAAUUACACAUACUGAUGGGUUUGUUGUUCUAAAGGGUGGUGGUAUUACAGGCACAAGUUCUGCUGAAGCAACCUCCUUUCCGAGCUGCACAAGAUGUCAAAUGGAAAGUCACCUAAGAAUUAGCAUGGAAAAAAGAAAACCCACAGAACAAGUGCCUAUCCACAUCCCUGGGAAGUGGCAACAGAUACCUGUCAGUAAUACCAGAAGCCCAGCUGUCUCCAAAGGUCUAAGAAACGCCCAUUGA
Molecule: long non-coding RNA, 947 nt
Filed under: Anas platyrhynchos platyrhynchos (common mallard)
Lineage: Eukaryota; Metazoa; Chordata; Aves; Anseriformes; Anatidae
Description: lncRNA (ENSAPLG00000026869.1)
Source: RNAcentral